This is a non-coding RNA of Myodes glareolus (Bank vole), 218 nucleotides long. NCBI's taxonomy places the organism in Eukaryota, Metazoa, Chordata, Mammalia, Rodentia, Cricetidae. The record is from RefSeq and is a predicted model, not a curated record.
UCAAGAUACAAGAUUUUGUCUCAAAAAAUGCAAUAAAUAUCUGUUUCUUGGCUCCUUCACGAACUCAGCUAAGUGACCCCAACAGCUACGAGUAGUCUGCCACAGAAAGGGCUGGGGGACUGGAGGUGCUGUCACUUGUCUGCCACAGAAAGGGCUGGGGGACUGGAGGUGCUGUCACUUGCAAAAUCACAUAUAUUACAGUGCAAGGAGAAAACAAU